RNAcentral lists this ribosomal RNA (304 nucleotides) under uncultured bacterium. Its description in RNAcentral is "partial 16S ribosomal RNA". It matches the Rfam family "Bacterial small subunit ribosomal RNA", at positions 509 to 807 of the family's 1533-position model. The record is from RNAcentral.
CAGCAGUCGCCGCGGUAAUACAGAGGGUGCGUGCGUUAAUCGGAUUUACUGGGCGUAAAGCGUGCGUAGGCGGCUUCUUAAGUCGGAUGUGAAAUCCCUGAGCUUAACUUAGGAAUUGCAUUCGAUACUGGGAAGCUAGAGUAUGGGAGAGGAUGGUAGAAUUCCAGGUGUAGCGGUGAAAUGCGUAGAGAUCUGGAGGAAUACCGAUGGCGAAGGCAGCCAUCUGGCCUAAUACUGACGCUGAGGUACGAAAGCAUGGGGAGCAAACAGGAUUAGAUACCCCUGUAGUCCCUGUCUCUUAUAC